UACAGAGGGUGCAAGCGUUGUUCGGAAUUAUUGGGCGUAAAGCGCGUGUAGGCGGCUUUGCAAGUCGGGUGUGAAAGCCCUCAGCUCAACUGAGGAAGUGCGCCCGAAACUGCAGAGCUUGAGUGCCGGAGAGGGUGGCGGAAUUCCCCAAGUAGAGGUGAAAUUCGUAGAUAUGGGGAGGAACACCGGUGGCGAAGGCGGCCACCUGGACGGUAACUGACGCUGAUGCGCGAAAGCGUGGGUAGCAAACAGG
Molecule: ribosomal RNA, 253 nt
Filed under: uncultured bacterium
Lineage: Bacteria
Description: partial 16S ribosomal RNA
Rfam family: Bacterial small subunit ribosomal RNA
Source: RNAcentral